Molecule: small RNA, 132 nt
Filed under: Salmonella enterica subsp. enterica serovar Derby
Lineage: Bacteria; Pseudomonadati; Pseudomonadota; Gammaproteobacteria; Enterobacterales; Enterobacteriaceae
Also listed under: 4 other names
Description: RtT sRNA
Rfam family: RtT RNA
About the family: This family represents a bacterial cis-regulatory element known as RtT RNA.
Source: RNAcentral
AUAUCUCUCUGUACGGGAAGGAUGAGAAGCUUCGACCAAGGUUCGAUUCGAGCGAAAGCGAGAAAGCGUUGCCGCAGGCAACGACCCGAAGGGCGAAGCGCGCAGCGCUGAGUCAUCCUUCCCCCACCACCA